UCUCCGUAGGUGAACCUGCGGAGGGAUCAUUACUGAGUGAGGGCUUCGGUCCGACCUCCAACCCUUUGUGAACCAAACUUGUUGCUUCGGGGGCGACCCUGCCGGCACUCUGUCGCCGGGCGCCCCCGAAGGUCUCCAAACACUGCAUCUUUGCGUCGGAGUUAAAGUAAAUUAAACAAAACUUUCAACAACGGAUCUCUUGGUUCCAGCAUCGAUGAAGAACGCAGC
Molecule: unclassified non-coding RNA, 228 nt
Filed under: uncultured fungus
Lineage: Eukaryota; Fungi
Description: sequence contains ITS1, 5.8S rRNA gene
Rfam family: 5.8S ribosomal RNA (bases 180-228)
Source: RNAcentral